RNAcentral lists this long non-coding RNA (244 nucleotides) under Capsella rubella. Its description in RNAcentral is "long non-coding RNA (CRUB_LNC000819)". The record is from RNAcentral. Lineage: Eukaryota; Viridiplantae; Streptophyta; Magnoliopsida; Brassicales; Brassicaceae.
CACGUUACAUCUUUCUAUGCUACAUUUUUGUGAAACAAAUAACUCAUCAUAUCAUUUAUAUAAUAAGAUUUUUUUUUUUUUUUUGCAUAUACCAUGAUUUGAAUUUUUAAAAACGAAUACAAAUUGCUCAAUUUAUAAAACAAACAUUAUAACGGGUCAAGUAUUUUAAACUUGAGUAAUAUAAUGCAAAAACAUUUAUACUAUUUCUCCCAAGGCUAGCAUUCUUCAAAAUAUAUACAACAAA